CCAAGGCGAAACCGCGAAUGGCUCAUUAAAUCAGUUAUGGUUAAUUGGAUCUGACCCUGUCCUACUCGGAUAACUGUGGUAAUUCUAGAGCUAAUACGUGAAUCCCAGCCCCGACCGAAAGGGAAGGGCGCUUUUACUAGACCAAAACCAAUCGGGCCUCGGUCCGUCCUCAAUGUGGUGACUCUGCGUAACUUUGAGCCGAGCGCACGGUCCUCGCACCGGCGCCGCAUCCUUCAAGUGUCUGCCUUAUCAGCUGUCGAUUGUAGGCCAUGCGCCUACAGUGGCUAUAACGGGUAACGGGGAAUCAGGGUUCGAUUCCGGAGAGGGAGCCUGAGAGACGGCUACCACAUCUAAGGAAGGCAGCAGGCACGCAAAUUACCCACUCCCGGCUCGGGGAGGUAGUGACGAAAAAUAACGAUGCGGGACUCUUCCGAGGCCUCGCAAUCGGAAUGAGUACACUUUAAAUCCUUUAACGAGGAUCCACUGGAGGGCAAGUCUGGUGCCAGCAGCCGCGGUAAUUCCAGCUCCAGUAGCGUAUAUUAAAGUUGCUGCGGUUAAAAAGCUCGUAGUUGGAUCUCAGUUCCGGACCGACGGCUCACCGCCCGGUGCCUGCCGUCGGCUUCCGAACGGCCGCUACGCCGGCUCGGCCGGGGUGCUCUUCAUCGAGUGUCCCGGCGCGGCCGGCACGUUUACUUUGAAAAA
This 702-nucleotide ribosomal RNA is filed under the name Brevisomabathynella sp. 5A KMA-2012. RNAcentral describes it as "SSU rRNA". It matches the Rfam family "Eukaryotic small subunit ribosomal RNA", at positions 76 to 764 of the family's 1831-position model. The record is from RNAcentral. Lineage: Eukaryota; Metazoa; Arthropoda; Malacostraca; Bathynellacea; Parabathynellidae.